This 69-nucleotide transfer RNA is filed under the name Chalcidica minea. RNAcentral describes it as "tRNA-His". The record is from RNAcentral. Lineage: Eukaryota; Metazoa; Arthropoda; Insecta; Lepidoptera; Cossidae.
ACUUAAAUAAUUUAAAUAAAAUAUUGAUUUGUGGUGUCAAAAAUAUGAUAAUAAAUAUCAUUUUAAGUU